AACGGCCAUACCAUGCUGAAUAUACCGGUUCUCGUUAGAUCACCGAAGUUAAGCAUCAUUGGGCGCGGUCAGUACUUGGAUGGGUGACCACCUGGGAACACCGCGUGCCGUUG
Molecule: ribosomal RNA, 113 nt
Filed under: Caerostris extrusa
Lineage: Eukaryota; Metazoa; Arthropoda; Arachnida; Araneae; Araneidae
Source: RNAcentral